RNAcentral lists this long non-coding RNA (2083 nucleotides) under Paramuricea clavata. Lineage: Eukaryota; Metazoa; Cnidaria; Anthozoa; Malacalcyonacea; Plexauridae. The record is from RNAcentral.
GCAGUAAUGUUCGUAAAAUAGUUUAUAGACUUUAUGAAUACUUUAUAAUUUAUAUAAUUUGGUAAGCGAAGAGCCACUCUGUGGAUAUAUUACCAAUAAAUCAUUAUUAUUAUUAUUAUAUACAGUGGAAUAGUAAUGUGUAAGCAUUCACAUGAAUGGACCAAGUGAUUGUCAUGUAAUAGCCCCCAAUAAUAUUUUAAUUCAAUGGCAGUGUUAGGGCAGUUAUAUAUAGAAGCACCAAAACUAAGGCGCUUUUUUGCAAUAUUUCCAAACGUUUCACGCGAAAGACGGCGAAUAGUCUCUUAUCAUACAUAUGUAUUGAAUGCUGAUUAAAUUAAAUUCCAUUGCUAAAAAUUCAAAUUGAUGAAAACAUAUUCAUUUCACAGAUCUAAGGCUGGUAUACUUUAAUUUAGGGUAUUAUAAUUACUUGCGGUAGUAAUCAUGUGUUUAUAAAAUGCUCCGUGGUCCACCUUCCGCCUUUUAUCCGUCCGCUUUCUACACCCUGAAAAAUACGCCCCCGGGGACUUAAUAGAGGAAUUCGGUAUGAAUAAUUACUGUAACAAAAUACAUUGGUGAAUCGCAUUUUAUUACAUUUUUGGAUUAUAUAUAUAUAUACUGCACUAUUACAAACGCUUUUUAACACUCAUUGAUAACUACAUUGCACUUAAAUUAAUUCAAUUAAUAUGAUUAAACUGAUUCUACGAAUUUACAUAUUUCUUACAUGUCAUUAAUUUGUAACUACAUAACAUUAAGCACACCCGUUUUCCAAAUUACAGGACUUGCCUGAAAAUAAUCUUAGUUCAAAUGUCAGAUUUAUGUCACGCGAACUGCGACUGAAAAAUGGCACACAUGAACAAACAUUUUUUAAAUAUUUAUACAUAUACAUAUUUAAUACCUAAAGAAGAGAAACUGUCUCGUGAAUGAAAGUUAAAAGAACAGUUUAAUCAUGUGUCUCAAAUCCGCUUGCGCUAGACUAUAGCGGUAAUAUUAUACUGUAAUCUUAACCCCAAUCUACAUCUUAAUCCAUGCGGUAAUUCUGGUAGAUAUGUGGAAAAAUUCAUUUCGAGAGCGAUUUUGACAACACGGAAGCCAUUAUAGAUGGGAGUGAUGGCGGCAGAAGUUCCUUUUUGAAAUCAAGAAUGGCAGUCAAUGUAGUUUUACGUUCGUUAUUCGUCCGUGGUCUAAAAAACGCCACUUGUUUAAGGUCUCUAAUAUGGAAAGCCAAAGGAACCUCGUUACUUGUGGCCAUCCAAUUGCUCAGAUUUUGGUAAUAAAUAAUUUGUGAGAGAGGGCAAUAAACGCGAAGUUUUAUGCGUACCAGAAGGGUUAAUUACAAUCCGGGACUUAUACGACAGCUGUAACUAUCCAUGAAGCGAAGUGUGAUAUUGUUGUUCAAUAAUUCACCUUCUUUCAUUGUAAAGCCAUAUAUUGUCACCAAAAUACGUGACUACAAGUAUAACUAUAUGCAUGGAAAAUUUAAGACUUCUCAGAUACGGAAAUUGGCUUGACUGGAAUACUUGUUCGCGCUAUUGUUAAGCCAAAUAAAUGCUUUAAAUAUACGCGAAUCGAAUUACAGAACUUAACAUCGGCAGGAAGAUUAGUUUAAAUUGAUUAAAACCUCCAGAAACAGAUCCUUAACUUUUUUCAGUAACAUUAAAUUUCCCGAAUAGUUUUAUUCUGGGUUUUUAUACCUUCGUUCUAUUAUAGGCUAUGCUUGUAUUAUUAUAGAUUAUACAGGUAUGUAAUUUACAUUGUGGUGGGAUUAAAUAUGAAUCUAUUUUUCUAGUUUCUUUUCCUCAACUUCCUGGCACUACUCACAUACAGUCCACUGUUUAGAAGUCGUAGUGACAAUCCGCGGUGAAAAGGCUGGGGAAGAGGGAGGGGUUUCGUUUUAAGUUAAACAUGUCGAAGUUUUUCACUAAACGUGAGAAAAUAUCGCAAACGUUUUGUCAGGGUGAAUUUAAUUAAAUACUAUGCUACUACUAAUAGGUUCCAUCAUUCAUAAAGUUUUAAAAUAUAUUAAUUUAGAGCCAGUUAAUAAUCACAACUGCGCCUUUAGGUGACGCGGUUCAACUCUUUUUAU